Molecule: ribosomal RNA, 861 nt
Filed under: uncultured bacterium
Lineage: Bacteria
Description: bacterial SSU rRNA
Rfam family: Bacterial small subunit ribosomal RNA
Source: RNAcentral
UGACGCUGGCGGAUGCUUUACACAUGCAAGUUCGAACGGCAGCACGGGAGCUUGCUCCUGGUGGCGAGUGGCGAACGGGUGAGUAAUAUAUCGGAACGUAUCCAAUAAUGGGGGAUAACUAGUCGAAAGAUUAGCUAAUACCGCAUACGCCCUGAGGGGGAAAGCUGGGGAUCUUCGGACCUAGCGUUAAUGGAGCGGCUGAUAUCUGAUUAGCUAGUAGGUGAGGUAAAGGCUCACCUAGGCUUCGAUCAGUAGCUGGUCUGAGAGGACGACCAGCCACACUGGAACUGAGACACGGUCCAGACUCCUACGGGAGGCAGCAGUGGGGAAUUUUGGACAAUGGGCACAAGCCUGAUCCAGCCAUUCCGCGUGAGUGAAGAAGGCCUUCGGGUUGUAAAGCUCUUUCGCAAGGGAAGAAAACUUAAGCUCUAACAUAGCUUGAGGCUGACGGUACCUUGAUAAGAAGCACCGGCUAACUACGUGCCAGCAGCCGCGGUAAUACGUAGGGUGCGAGCGUUAAUCGGAAUUACUGGGCGUAAAGCGUGCGCAGGCGGCCUGAUAAGUCAGAUGUGAAAUCCCCGAGCUCAACUUGGGAACUGCGUUUGAAACUAUCAAGCUAGAAUAUGUCAGAGGGGGGUAGAAUUCCACGUGUAGCAGUGAAAUGCGUAGAUAUUCGGAAGAACACCAGUGGCGAAGGCGACUGACUGGACAAGUAUUGACGCUGAGGUGCGAAAGCGUGGGGAGCAAACAGGAUUAGAUACCCUGGUAGUCCACGCCGUAAACGAUGAUAACUAGCUGUCCGGGCACUUGGUGCCUGGGUGGCGCAGCUAACGCAUUAAGUUAUCCGCCUGGGGAGUACGG